GAGUCAAAUUGAAUUGUCAAAGUUUGAGGGGCAGAGCAGACAAAUCGCUAUUCUCAGAACAGGCAAACUGUCACCGCCCCGCACGCGCAGGCAUUCGGUUUCCUGUAACUAAACUUCCCAUCUUAUCUAUUUUCGAGAGGCUGCUCAGCUGCAGGAGAUUUUCGCUUAACAGGUGAAGUGCGGCAUACACACAGUUACUUUGAAGAUCAAUAAUAUUUGGAAUCAUUGCGAUGUAAAAGCCCUGAUGGAAAGAACAGCGCAAAACCUGAAAAGUAAACUGGAGGCAAUGGGCUUCCUUGCCGUUGAAGAAUUUUGGUUGACGAAUCAACCCAUUGCGGUUAUUUGUCAAUUAAAGCGAGAACUUGGAGUGGCAUCGCUGAGACUCCUGCUAUAUUGUACGGAGUUCCUACGUGUUACGUGCUACGGUAGCAGAGAAGACCCUCCGCGGCUCGAGCUUGUACAUAAAACCUGCUGUUUCAUCAGACAGUUAAAUGCCCACAACUGGAAUCUGACCUUCACAGAGUCAGGUCUUCCCCUGUUGGUUGACAUCCCACCAAAUUCUGUGCAACGGUCCAGGACUGGUGAAAGGAGGAGAGGUGUGAGAGAAGGCCAAGAAACCGACGAAAACAAGGAAUCAAUGGACUGAUUUGUGAUUUGAAUUUUACAUGUUUUUCAAUAAAUAGAAGCAUAGAUAAAUGUGGUGCAACUUACCAAUUUUA
Molecule: long non-coding RNA, 719 nt
Organism: Anguilla anguilla (European eel)
Lineage: Eukaryota; Metazoa; Chordata; Actinopteri; Anguilliformes; Anguillidae
Exons: 5
Source: RefSeq, a predicted model, not a curated record